CUUCAGCCAAGUGUGAUUUAGUAGAGGGAAAAAUUAAAAGAUCUGGGUGGGAAACAAAUUAUGAACCCUCUCUGACUGUAUGUGUUCAUCUGUUUGGGACCGAUCCAUACCUCCAGAGAUUGUGUUAGGAUGAAAUAGGUUUGUGAAAUUGCUCUUUAUACAGAAAAGCACUAUUCAAAUAUUGGGUAUCAUCCCUAUUUCAAAAUCUGGAUUGCUGAAGUUCAAUUUAAUAAGAUGGGUUUUAUUUUAUUUUUUUUCAUGCAUGGAAAGAACUUGUUUACAAGGGUGAAGAGCUCCCUGUGAGUAUGGAAGCUUAUCAGGAACUCCUCUACCAUUUCCAGGAGUCCAGAGGGCUACCCUGUUUGCAAAGUGUUAUCAAGGAGCGGGGUGUUCAGAAAAACAAACUCGCCUGUCCUGGGGUGGCCAGAUUAAGGUCUGUCUCCUCCAAAAACCUCCUGGGAUAACUUCAUCUCAGUUCUCUCUCUGCCUCAGAAUGACUAGAGCCUGCCACUAGAUUCAAUUCAACAAUAACUUUGUGGGGAAAAGGUCACUUUGCUGGGUGCCGGGGUAGGGGGUGAGGGUGGUGAGAUCUGAGAUGGAGAGAGGGCUCAAGGGCAGAGCCUGCAGUCCACCGGCCUGGUCCUCAGGAAUUCACGGUCUGCAGAUGGACACUUGUUGGACAUUCACACCCUAUCAGGCAUAUGAACAACAUCUGAACCAAAAGACAGCAGAUAUAAUGGACUCAUUUUGUACAAAAGCUCUAGAAAGUAAAAUAUUCUAAGGUGUUUGAGGAGGAAACGGCAACCCACUCCAGUAUUCUUGCCCGGAAAGUCCCGUGGACAGAGAAACCUGGGGGUCUACAGUCCACAGCGUUGCAAAGAAUCGGACAUGACUGCAGUGAUUUAGCACAGCAUACAAGGCAGCACAGCAAUGAUGCGCUGCAGAUAGAAGUACCUCUUCUCAAUUCCUCCCAGACUGGAUGAUGCAUCAGAAAACAGCUUUACAGCAGGCCUAUUCUGCCAACUAGGAUGGAGACUGGAAGGCAUGCCUUUGGAGAGUUUAAAUUUAUGUUUCAACAACCCCAUGUGAAAUAAAGGUCUGGUUGAUUAAUCAGUUUCUUGAGUCAAUGAAGAGAGCCAGUCAAAAGUAUUCUAACUCUGGAAGGGAUUUCUAACCUGAAUAAUCUACCUUAACAGCCCAAUACAUCAAUUAACUGUAUAGUGAUCAUUAUCAAAUUACCAAUUUCACUUAGCUUAUAUGAUUUUAGUGCUAUGUAGACACAAAUUCGAAUUUUGCAUCGAUGUAGGCUCCCUUUCUUCUGUACUUUCUUUAUGACCUGACUUUGUAUGCUUAUAAUAUAAUUUUUAUUAUAAAUAAAUAUCUAUUCUAAAAAAAGUAAAUUUCUUUUUUUAUUAAAUCUCUUUACUUACAAUUCAGGCUAUGUUGGAGGAGGAAAUGGCAACCCACUCCAGUAUUCUUGCCUGAAGAAUCCCAUGGACAGAGGAGCCUGGUGGACACAGUACAUAGAGUCACAAAGAGUCGGACACGACUGAGCUGCAAGCAGCAGGCUAUGUUAGGAUGGUUGACUUUCUUCAUUGCUUGGUGCUUACUUCCC
Long non-coding RNA from Bos taurus (domestic cattle), 1615 nucleotides. The record is from Ensembl. Lineage: Eukaryota; Metazoa; Chordata; Mammalia; Artiodactyla; Bovidae.